RNAcentral lists this ribosomal RNA (468 nucleotides) under uncultured bacterium. RNAcentral's name for it is "partial 16S ribosomal RNA". It matches the Rfam family "Bacterial small subunit ribosomal RNA", at positions 28 to 507 of the family's 1533-position model. The record is from RNAcentral.
GACGAACGCUGGCGGCGUGCUUAACACAUGCAAGUCGAACGGAAAGGCCCUGCUUUUGUGGGGUGCUCGAGUGGCGAACGGGUGAGUAACACGUGAGUAACCUGCCCUUGACUUUGGGAUAACUUCAGGAAACUGGGGCUAAUACCGGAUAGGAGCUCCUGCUGCAUGGUGGGGGUUGGAAAGUUUCGGCGGUUGGGGAUGGACUCGCGGCUUAUCAGCUUGUUGGUGGGGUAGUGGCUUACCAAGGCUUUGACGGGUAGCCGGCCUGAGAGGGUGACCGGCCACAUUGGGACUGAGAUACGGCCCAGACUCCUACGGGAGGCAGCAGUGGGGAAUAUUGCACAAUGGGCGGAAGCCUGAUGCAGCAACGCCGCGUGCGGGAUGACGGCCUUCGGGUUGUACCCCGCUUUCGCCUGUGACGAAGCGUGAGUGACGGUAAUGGGUAAAGAAGCACCGGCUAACUACGUG